This 253-nucleotide ribosomal RNA is filed under the name uncultured bacterium. RNAcentral's name for it is "partial 16S ribosomal RNA". It matches the Rfam family "Bacterial small subunit ribosomal RNA", at positions 524 to 776 of the family's 1533-position model. The record is from RNAcentral.
UACAGAGGGUGCAAGCGUUAAUCGGAAUUACUGGGCGUAAAGCGUGCGUAGACGGUUACAUAAGUCGGAUGUGAAAGCCCCGGGCUCAACCUGGGAAUGGCAUUCGAGACUGUGUAGCUAGGAUGCGGAAGAGGGAAGCGGAAUUUCCGGUGUAGCGGUGAAAUGCGUAGAUAUCGGAAGGAACACCAGUGGCGAAAGCGGCUUCCUGGUCCAGCAUCGACGUUCAGGCACGAAAGCGUGGGGAGCAAACAGG